ACCCUGGCUGUGCCCCCGCCACGCCCACGCCAGCCUGAGGCCACAAGCAGCGUAGCUCUGCCCGUCUUGGAGCUUAGAGAGGCCAUGCCACCCUCAGUCCCUGGCUCUGGCACCCUGGUGGCUCAUCUCAGCCUGGGUGGCUGGGUGUGCGUGUGGGAACUGGCCCCUUGGCAAUUCCUCGGUGGGAGGAACAGGGUCCUGGGAAAGGCCGGAAGCUCCCUCUUUGCUCGCUGACCUCUGCCCAGCUCUUGCAGCGAUGACUUCUCCAGGGAUGCAUCUGUGGGUGGUAGACUCUGGUGGUUUCUGCAUGUUCUAAGAUCCUGGAGCCCAGGACGCGAGCCAGUGCCAUGAGACUCACAGUAGCCGUGUACAUGAGGGACGUCCACCCCAGACGACGGUCACCCCUGUGGGUGGAACCUGCACUUCCAUCGCUUCUGCCCUGCUUGAAGACGCCAGCAAAUACAACGUGGACAUCAAAGCAAAGAGCUGCCUGAGCUUUUGAGAUCCAUACAAACUGAUUGUCUUCCCCCGAAGCAGGCUGUCAUUUUCCCUUACUUAAAGAGGGGUGACUUAUGGAAUAUAAAUUGGAAGAGAAGUUUAUCUGGAUGAAUGAGGUUUGGCU
Long non-coding RNA from Bos taurus (domestic cattle), 622 nucleotides. The record is from Ensembl. NCBI's taxonomy places the organism in Eukaryota, Metazoa, Chordata, Mammalia, Artiodactyla, Bovidae.